CAUCUUCAGGCUUUUGCUUGGCAAGUUUUUGGGUUAAGUUAUUACCCAGCUAUCAUAGAUAUUAAAAUUUGCCAAGUAAAAGCCUGUAUUGAAUUUAUUUAAGUUAUUAAACAAACAGUUGCUUUUAAAUCAAGUUUGGCAAUCUUUUGGCCUCGACAUUUUGGUUGUCCAGGAGACCUAUUUUACCUACAUGAAGGGUGUUAGGCCUUUCUGGCGACAUUUUGAUCGGGUCUCCAAUUACUGGAGUUUCACCAUCGGAGGUAGUGGUGGCGUCGGUACCUCCUUUCAUCGAAGAUCACAGUUUAGCAAUUUGUACCGACGUCGUGAUAUUACGCCAAACACCCAAUUGUCGAUGACAUCCCAUUAUAAAACAUUGUCUAUUGUUUUUCAAUAUAUUCAAUUUUUGUCGGUGGCAUCCUAUUUCUAUGGAUGGUCUACUGUUAACUAACAAUGCUUACCAGUGGUAUCCCAUUAUCAAGGAUGGUCAAAUGUAUAACCUUUUAUUUUUGCUUCUCGGGGAUAUCUUAAUUGAGGAUGGUCGGGAAUAUCCUAUAUAUAAUGGUUUAUUGUUAGAAAUCCUCUGCUUAUUAUUAUUGUGUAAAACUUGUGUUUAAAGUGGCAGUAUGGUAAAUCUGUGGCUUGCCACCCUGGAGAAUACGGGCCGCAUACAUCCAGUCUUUCAGGGGCCUAACUCGUUGAGCCCUUUCUUUCAAUCUUCCGGUUGAUCCCAUCAUGGGUAUUGGCCAUAACACGAAUCUUUAAUUAAAG
This 768-nucleotide long non-coding RNA is filed under the name Androctonus crassicauda. The record is from RNAcentral. Lineage: Eukaryota; Metazoa; Arthropoda; Arachnida; Scorpiones; Buthidae.